GUUAAUAACAAAGGUUAUGGACAGACUGCAGUCGUGGAAAGGAAAGCUCCUCUCGGUAGGCGGCAGGGCUAUAUUGAUCACAAAUGUUCUACAAAGUAUGCCAAUUCAUAUGUUAUCAAUAGUUAAUCCUCCUAACUAUGUCAUUACCAAAUUACAUAGCAUACAAAGUAUGCCAAUUCAUAUGCGAUCAGCAGUUAAUCUUCCUAAAUAUGUCAUUACCAAAUUACAUAGCAUUUUUGCAAAAUUCUUCUAGAGCAGUAAUGUGGGAGGAAAUUCAAGACAUUGGUCAUCCUGGACUAACCUAUGUCUGCCUUAUGAGGAAGGGGGUAUAGGUUUCUGAUCACUUCAUGAUGUAUCCAAGGCACUUUUUCGCAAAUUCUGGUGGAAUUUUAGAACAAAACCCAGUCUAUGGAGUGCUUUUAUGUGUCAAAAGUAUUGUAAGAAAUUAAAUCCAGUAAUAGUACCUUGGAAGGGUGGAUCACACGCUUGGAAGAAAAUGCUUCAAUGCAGAGAAUUGAUUGAGCAUCAAAUCUUCUGGAAAUUGAGAAUGGGAUCGUCUCAAUGUUGGUUCGACAAUUGAACAGAGAUGGGAGCAUUAUACUUCCAAAUGCCAACAACAUUCCCCAUUGAUGAAAACAUUCAAAAUGUAAAU
Molecule: long non-coding RNA, 652 nt
Filed under: Nicotiana benthamiana
Lineage: Eukaryota; Viridiplantae; Streptophyta; Magnoliopsida; Solanales; Solanaceae
Description: long non-coding RNA (NBEN_LNC011736)
Source: RNAcentral